AGAGCGAACGCUGGCGGCAUGCCUAAUACAUGCAAGUCGAACGAACACUUCGGUGUUAGUGGCGCACGGGUGCGUAACGCGUGGGAAUCUGCCCUUGGGUUCGGAAUAACAGUUGGAAACGACUGCUAAUACCGGAUGAUGACGAAAGUCCAAAGAUUUAUCGCCCAGGGAUGAGCCCGCGUAGGAUUAGCUAGUUGGUGAGGUAAAGGCUCACCAAGGCGACGAUCCUUAGCUGGUCUGAGAGGAUGAUCAGCCACACUGGGACUGAGACACGGCCCAGACUCCUACGGGAGGCAGCAGUAGGGAAUAUUGGACAAUGGGCGCAAGCCUGAUCCAGCAAUGCCGCGUGAGUGAUGAAGGCCUUAGGUUGUAAAGCUACUUUUACCCGAGAUGAUAAUGACAGUAUCGGAGAAUAAGCCCCGGACUAACCGUCCGCGCCAGCCAGCCGACGGU
RNAcentral lists this ribosomal RNA (453 nucleotides) under uncultured soil bacterium. RNAcentral's name for it is "bacterial SSU rRNA". It matches the Rfam family "Bacterial small subunit ribosomal RNA", at positions 26 to 521 of the family's 1533-position model. The record is from RNAcentral.